RNAcentral lists this ribosomal RNA (468 nucleotides) under uncultured bacterium. RNAcentral describes it as "partial 16S ribosomal RNA". It matches the Rfam family "Bacterial small subunit ribosomal RNA", at positions 28 to 507 of the family's 1533-position model. The record is from RNAcentral.
GAUGAACGCUGGCGGCGUGCUUAACACAUGCAAGUCGAACGGAAAGGCCCUGCUCUUGUGGGGUUCUCGAGUGGCGAACGGGUGAGUAAAACAUGUGUAACCUGUCCUUGUCUUUGUGAUAACAUCUGGAAACUGGGGCUAAUACAGGGGAGGAGCUCUUGAUGCGUGGGGGGGAUUGGAAAGUUUCGGCGGUUGGGGAUGGUUUGGAGGGUUAUGCGCUGGUUGGGGGGGUAGUGGCUGUCAAGGCUUUCGACGGGUAGGCUGCCUGAGAGGGUGGACAGCGACAAUGGGACUGAGAGACGGCGCAGACGCGUACGGGCGGCAGCAGUGGGGAAUAUUGCGCAACGGGGGGAAGCGUGAUGCAGCGACGCCGCGUGCGGGAAGACGGGUUUCGGGUUGUGAACCGCUGUGGCAGGUGACGUAGCGUGAUUGACGGUAAUGGGUAAAGAAGCACCGGCUAACUACGUG